CUGCGUACCUUUUGUAUAAUGGGUCAGCGACUUAUAUUCUGUAGCAAGGUUAACCGAAUAGGGGAGCCGAAGGGAAACCGAGUCUUAACUGGGCGUUAAGUUGCAGGGUAUAGACCCGAAACCCGGUGAUCUAGCCAUGGGCAGGUUGAAGGUUGGGUAACACUAACUGGAGGACCGAACCGACUAAUGUUGAAAAAUUAGCGGAUGACUUGUGGCUGGGGGUGAAAGGCCAAUCAAACCGGGAGAUAGCUGGUUCUCCCCGAAAGCUAUUUAGGUAGCGCCUCGUGAAUUCAUCUCCGGGGGUAGAGCACUGUUUCGGCAAGGGGGUCAUCCCGACUUACCAACCCGAUGCAAACUGCGAAUACCGGAGAAUGUUAUCACGGGAGACACACGGCGGGUGCUAACGUCCGUCGUGAAGAGGGAAACAACCCAGACCGCCAGCUAAGGUCCCAAAGUCAUGGUUAAGUGGGAAACGAUGUGGGAAGGCCCAGACAGCCAGGAUGUUGGCUUAGAAGCAGCCAUCAUUUAAAGAAAGCGUAAUAGCUCACUGGUCGAGUCGGCCUGCGCGGAAGAUGUAACGGGGCUAAACCAUGCACCGAAGCUGCGGCAGCGACGCUGAUGCGUUGUUGGGUAGGGGAGCGUUCUGUAAGCCUGCGAAGGUGUGCUGUGAGGCAUGCUGGAGGUAUCAGAAGUGCGAAUGCUGACAUAAGUAACGAUAAAGCGGGUGAAAAGCCCGCUCGCCGGAAGACCAAGGGUUCCUGUCCAACGUUAAUCGGGGCAGGGUGAGUCG
RNAcentral lists this ribosomal RNA (790 nucleotides) under Escherichia coli. Its description in RNAcentral is "partial 23S ribosomal RNA". It matches the Rfam family "Bacterial large subunit ribosomal RNA", at positions 597 to 1386 of the family's 2925-position model. Lineage: Bacteria; Pseudomonadati; Pseudomonadota; Gammaproteobacteria; Enterobacterales; Enterobacteriaceae. The record is from RNAcentral.